UACGGAGGGUGCAAGCGUUGUUCGGAUUUACUGGGCGUAAAGCGCGCGCAGGUGGGUGUACAAGUCGGACGUGAAAUCCCAGGGCUCAACCCUGGGGCUGCUCCCGAAACUGUACGCCUAGAGACUGGUAGAGGCUGGUAGAAUUCCCGGUGUAGCGGUGGAAUGCGUAGAGAUCGGGAAGAAUACCCGUGGCGAAGGCGGCCAGCUGGGCCAGAUCCGACACUGAGGCGCGAAAGCGUGGGGAGCAAACAGG
Molecule: ribosomal RNA, 253 nt
Filed under: uncultured bacterium
Lineage: Bacteria
Description: partial 16S ribosomal RNA
Rfam family: Bacterial small subunit ribosomal RNA
Source: RNAcentral